Molecule: small RNA, 55 nt
Filed under: Salmonella enterica subsp. enterica serovar Infantis
Lineage: Bacteria; Pseudomonadati; Pseudomonadota; Gammaproteobacteria; Enterobacterales; Enterobacteriaceae
Also listed under: 1 other name
Description: partial RtT sRNA
Rfam family: RtT RNA
About the family: This family represents a bacterial cis-regulatory element known as RtT RNA. The exact function of RtT is unknown although it is thought that it may be involved in changing the cellular response in relation to amino acid starvation.
Source: RNAcentral
GUAACGGCCCGUAGGGUGAGGAGUGAAGCGACGAAUAAUCCUUCCUCCACCACCA